Molecule: ribosomal RNA, 447 nt
Filed under: uncultured bacterium
Lineage: Bacteria
Description: bacterial SSU rRNA
Rfam family: Bacterial small subunit ribosomal RNA
Source: RNAcentral
GCCAGACUCCUACGGGAGGCAGCAGUGGGGAAUAUUGCACAAUGGGGGAAACCCUGAUGCAGCGACGCCGCGUGAGUGAAGAAGUAUUUCGGUAUGUAAAGCUCUAUCAGCAGGAACGAGACAAGACGGUACCUGACUAAGAAGCCCCGGCUAACUACGUGCCAGCAGCCGCGGUAAUACGUAGGGGGCAAGCGUUAUCCGGAAUCACUGGGUGUAAAGGGAGCGUAGACGGCUGUGCAAGCCUGAAGUGAAAGGCGGGGGCCCAACCCCCGGACUGCUUUGGGAACUGUACGGCUGGAGUGCAGGAGAGGUAAGUGGAAUUCCUAGUGUAGCGGUGAAAUGCGUAGAUAUUAGGAGGAACACCAGUGGCGAAGGCGGCUUACUGGACUGUAACUGACGUUGAGGCUCGAAAGCGUGGGGAGCAAACAGGAUUAGAUACCCUCGUAA